GAUGAAGGCCUUAGGGUUGUAAAGCUCUUUCGCCAGGGAUGAUAAUGACAGUACCUGGUAAAGAAACCCCGGCUAACUCCGUGCCAGCAGCCGCGGUAAUACGGAGGGGGUUAGCGUUGUUCGGAAUUACUGGGCGUAAAGCGCGCGUAGGCGGAUUGGAAAGUUGGGGGUGAAAUCCCGGGGCUCAACCCCGGAACUGCCUCCAAAACUCCCAGUCUUGAGUUCGAGAGAGGUGAGUGGAACUCCGAGUGUAGAGGUGAAAUUCGUAGAUAUUCGGAAGAACACCAGUGGCGAAGGCGGCUCACUGGCUCGAUACUGACGCUGAGGUGCGAAAGUGUGGGGAGCAAACAGGAUUAGAUACCCUGGUAGUCCACACCGUAAACGAUGAAUGCCAGACGUCGGGCAGCAUGCUGUUCGGUGUCACACCUAACGGAUUAAGCAUUCCGCCUGGGGAGUACGGUCGCAAGAUUAAAACUCAAA
Molecule: ribosomal RNA, 480 nt
Filed under: uncultured bacterium
Lineage: Bacteria
Description: bacterial SSU rRNA
Rfam family: Bacterial small subunit ribosomal RNA
Source: RNAcentral